This 987-nucleotide long non-coding RNA is filed under the name Physcomitrium patens. RNAcentral's name for it is "long non-coding RNA (PPAT_LNC002802)". The record is from RNAcentral. Lineage: Eukaryota; Viridiplantae; Streptophyta; Bryopsida; Funariales; Funariaceae.
AUAAGUGCAGAACUACCACCGCACCCCACAAUGUACUAAUUAAGGAGGUUUUCGUGGAUUUCAUUUAAGAAACGUACACAUUCCGACUCAAUUAUCCUACAAUGCUCAGCCUUUAUACUUGUAAGACCAUCUCUCUCGAAAAAAUGUAGCCCCUCUACUUCUACCGACCUCUGGUUCCUUCAAAGUUUCUUUUAAAUGAAUGUUAACCUCGAGAAAAUCACUACCUGAAGCAAUAAUAGCGAUGGGAUACCCAAAUCAAGAGUACAUACUACGUUUCCGGCGGUAAUUGCUCAGCGCUGCUCGUUCUACAUUUCCUUAAAAAUCCUUGUCACCAUCACCAAAAAUCAAGACUCAAACUCUUGAUCGAGCAAAAAGUUACGUUGAUUUCAUUGAUUCCCAAUAAACAUCCUUGCGCUCCCAAGACAUUGCCGGGCUCUCGUGAGAGGGUCCAUCAGCUAGAUAAAUACCACUUCGCAAAAUUCGUCGGCAGAGAGGGAGGAGGUCACAACCUGCUACCUGAAUUAGCAAGAACGAUGGAGGAAUCCUCACGAGAAAUACCAGUCUCACGUGUUACCCUCAAGCAGCGAGCGCAAAAUUCUGCACAGUCUCCUGCGCCAUGCCAUGUCGAUGGCGGACUGGCAAACGAUUGCGAUUUAUGUCUUGUUCGCGAUCACAAUCAGUUACCGGUACGCCUACAACACGGUCUACUACAUUACGCCCGACACCAUCACGCUCAGAAUUGCAAGUAGCUUGAUCGCCAUCACUCAGUCACGAAAUUCCUCCAGAUUCACCUUUCACUCCUCCUCCACAUUCGACCGCACAGUACAUCCAGUCUUCGUCAGAAAUCCAUAACGAUCUGCGAUCGUGGUCGUCCGCAGUUUCGAAAAAGCAAGCAUCGAUUUGCAGCAAAUAUUACAGAAAUCGUACUCGAACCCUAGCCCUAAACCUAAUUAAAGUAGGGCUAUAGUGUCAAAGACGAUCUUCAUG